CACCGCCUGGGGAGUACGACCGCAAGGUUAAAACUCAAAUGAAUUGACGGGGACCCGCACAAGUAGUGGAGCAUGUGGUUUAAUUCGAAGAUACGCGCAGAACCUUACCAACACUUGACAUGUUCGUCGCGACUUUAAGAGAUUAAAGUUUUCGGUUCGGCCGGACGAAACACAGGUGCUGCAUGGCUGUCGUCAGCUCGUGUCGUGAGAUGUUGGGUUAAGUCCCGCAACGAGCGCAACCCUCACUUUUAGUUGCCAUCAUUUAGUUGGGCACUCUGAAAGAACUGCCAGUGAUAAGCUGGAGGAAGGUGGGGAUGACGUCAAGUCCUCAUGGCCCUUACGUGUUGGGCUACACACGUACUACAAUGGUAUCUACAACAGGAAGCAAAACAGCGAUGUUGAGCAAAUCCUUAAAAGAUACCUCAGUUCGGAUUGCACUCUGCAACUCGAGUGCAUGAAGCUGGAAUUACUAGUAAUCGUGGAUCAGCGUGCCACGGUGAAUGCGUUCCCGGGUCUUGUACACACCGCCCGUCACACCAUGGGAGUUGGUUCUACCUUAAGGCAAGGUUUAAUACCCUUGACCACGGUAUAGUCAGCGACUGGGGUGAAGUCGUAACAAGGUAGCCGUAGGGGAACCUGCGGCUGGAUUACCUCCUUUCUAAGGAUGAAUAAAAGUAAAAUUUUAUUCUAAAUAAUAUACAUAGGCAAUGUUGACCGUCCUCAUUUCUCUUCUUAAAUAUUAGUGUUUCUCUUGCAUGGGGGCCGGUAGCUCAGUUGGUUAGAGCACACCCUUGAUAAGGGUGGGGUCGAAAGUUCGAGUCUUUCUCGGCCCACCAAUUUUAGAUUAAGGGGGAUUAGCUCAGCUGGGAGAGCGCCUGAUUUGCAUUCAGGAGGUCAGCGGUUCGAUCCCGCUAUCCUCCACCAAACACUUAGUUAUAUAAAAUUGUAAAUAAAAAUUAAUAUCAAUAUCUAUAUCCGAACAUUAAUAAUGUUAUUAGUUAAUGUUCAUAAAAAAAUUUGAUUCAACACAGAAUUUUUCUCUG
RNAcentral lists this small RNA (1043 nucleotides) under uncultured Pelagibacterales bacterium. RNAcentral describes it as "bacterial SSU rRNA". The stretch from base 1 to 658 matches the Rfam family "Bacterial small subunit ribosomal RNA", at positions 867 to 1533 of the family's 1533-position model. Lineage: Bacteria; Pseudomonadati; Pseudomonadota; Alphaproteobacteria; Candidatus Pelagibacterales. The record is from RNAcentral.